CACCGCGGUUAUACGAGGGACCCCAGUUGAUGAACGCGGCGUAAAGAGUGGUUAUGGAACCCCUUUCUACUAAAAUCGAAAACCCCUCCGACUGUUAUACGCAUCCAGGGGCCUUAAUUUCUUAUACGAAGGUGAUUUUAUUAUCGUCGGCCAGAACCCACGACAGCUAGGAUA
RNAcentral lists this ribosomal RNA (174 nucleotides) under Stolephorus insularis. RNAcentral describes it as "partial 12S rRNA". Lineage: Eukaryota; Metazoa; Chordata; Actinopteri; Clupeiformes; Engraulidae. The record is from RNAcentral.